Molecule: small nuclear RNA, 107 nt
Organism: Camelus dromedarius (Arabian camel)
Lineage: Eukaryota; Metazoa; Chordata; Mammalia; Artiodactyla; Camelidae
Source: Ensembl
GUGCUUCCCUCAUCAGCACAAAAGCUGAAACUGAAACAAAACAAGGAAGGUUAACAUGGCCCCUGUGCCAGCAUAACAUGCAAAUCUGCAAGGUAUUUUCUACAGUA